GGGCUCACAUGCAAUAUCAAAACCAUAAGAAAAAUAUAUAGACACAUAGAAAAAUGUAGACUCGGGUGUAAAUAACACAGAAGUAGAUCUAUAUAAAAUUUGGAUAAUACAUGUAAUAACUACAUCAAAAGCCUCUACCUUAGGUCUCCUAAGUAUAGCAUAGCACUGACCACAUCUAUUUCUGAACUAAGUUACCCCAUGGCCA
RNAcentral lists this long non-coding RNA (205 nucleotides) under Capsicum annuum. Its description in RNAcentral is "long non-coding RNA (CANN_LNC022591)". Lineage: Eukaryota; Viridiplantae; Streptophyta; Magnoliopsida; Solanales; Solanaceae. The record is from RNAcentral.